Molecule: long non-coding RNA, 371 nt
Filed under: Dromaius novaehollandiae (emu)
Lineage: Eukaryota; Metazoa; Chordata; Aves; Casuariiformes; Dromaiidae
Description: lncRNA (ENSDNVG00000005239.1)
Source: RNAcentral
UUUCGCACCACUGAUGACCCCAGUGACAAGCGAGUAUGCAAUACUACUGGAUCAGAGCUGCUUUUCGYACACCUGUAAGGAGCUACUGAGCGUCUGAACCACGUCCAUCCCUUUUGCAACCACCUUCUCAGAUGAACCACAUGCAGGGUAGUGCCAGGAGCCUCUGCAGAUCCUGCCUUUCUCCAGUGACUGAGUCCUCUGAGCAGAGAAGUCUCUCAUCGCAUAAAAAAGCUGGCAACCCUGGAAAGCGCGCACAUUGACACUGCCCUCCCCACAGCUGCAGUUGUUUUAAAUAUAUGUGUCUGUGUAGUGUGUGUAUGUAUACAUACGCAUAUGUAUAAUUUUUGUGACAAGAAAAUAAAGUGUUUUCA